Molecule: long non-coding RNA, 487 nt
Organism: Diospyros lotus (date-plum)
Lineage: Eukaryota; Viridiplantae; Streptophyta; Magnoliopsida; Ericales; Ebenaceae
Exons: 3
Source: RefSeq, a predicted model, not a curated record
UUCGCCAAACCCCUCUUUGCUUUGCUUUCCUGCCAACGAUUCUUUUUCUUCUCUGGCUUGCAACUCACAGCGCGCAAAACCCUAGUCCAUCCCUCGAUCUGCUUCCCUUCUCCGUCGAUGCGAAUUGCACGAAUGAACGUUUCUAAGAAAAUCCUAACCUUGACAGGUUAUGAGUUGGGUCAAAAAGACCCCAAAUUCGGAUCUAGCAAGUCGUGGGUCAUCUCCCUGAGCAGCAUGUGGUUGCUCAUUCGCCUGCCCGCCAGCAGCGCGUGAGCUUGCAGGCGGCAACGUGUGGGGGUCGGGGUGCUCUUCUUCUGUUUCGGAUCUGAUCCUACAUCACUCACAGUGCCUUGUGCUGUAGCAGAGGAGUCAAGAGUUAGUACAAGGUUCUUACCGUUAUCGUCAAUUAUCCCAUCGUCAAGCAGCUUUGGUAUGCUGAUACUCAGCCCCAGGAGAGUAGCUGCUGCUGGCCAAAAGGCAGCUCGCC